Molecule: ribosomal RNA, 501 nt
Filed under: uncultured bacterium
Lineage: Bacteria
Description: partial 16S ribosomal RNA
Rfam family: Bacterial small subunit ribosomal RNA
Source: RNAcentral
AUUGAACGCUGGCGGCAGGCUUAACACAUGCAAGUCGAGCGGAGAUGAGGUGCUUGCACCUUAUCUUAGCGGCGGACGGGUGAGUAAUGCUUAGGAAUCUGCCUAUUAGUGGGGGACAACAUUCCGAAAGGAAUGCUAAUACCGCAUACGUCCUACGGGAGAAAGCAGGGGAUCUUCGGACCUUGCGCUAAUAGAUGAGCCUAAGUCGGAUUAGCUAGUUGGUGGGGUAAAGGCCUACCAAGGCGACGAUCUGUAGCUGGUCUGAGAGGAUGAUCCGCCACACUGGGACUGAGACACGGCCCAGACUCCUACGGGAGGCAGCAGUGGGGAAUAUUGGACUAUGGGGGGAACCCUGAUCCAGCCAUGCCGCGUGUGUGAAGAAGGCCUUAUGGUUGUAAAGCACUUUAAGCGGGGAGGAGGCUACUGAGACUAAUACUCUUGGAUAGUGGACGUUACUCGCAGAAUAAGCACCGGCUAACUCUGUGCCAGCAGCCGCCGUAA